GAUGUACUUAUUUAGUUAAUGUAGAAUCAAUCAAAAGUGUUAUUUCAAAACCGUUUUAAUGAAAUCAAAAACACACUUUGGUAGUACAUGUUUUUCGUAGGGUGAGAAUUUGUCUCACCAAUUCCAAUAGUUCAUGACAUCAAAUGGUAUUCUUUAUCAAAUUUUUUAUUCUCAUACCUCUCAACAAAAUAGAGCAGNGGGNCCAAAAACAAANNUCUUAUAGAAACUACUUGAACAUUUCUUCAUAAUCAUUUUCCUCACCGUGUUUGGAGGGAUUUUAUCCUUAUAGUAUGUUAUCUCAUUAAUAGGAUGUAAUCGCNUAUAAACCACUCUAUCUCAUUCCCCUCUAUACAGUCUUCCUCCACGUGUUUUUAGUACCACAUGUUUUUUACGUAACCUCAUGUGGUCGAGAUAAACUUUCUCUUUAGUUGUUUAAAUUGUCUUCAUGGGACAUUAUUGUUCUCAGAUACUAUACACUUGUUCCUUCUAAAGAUGACAUAUGUAGUCACUUUUCCACCACUAUCAAUCUUCCAUCAUUACCGCUAUAUGACUCUGCCAUAACUCGGGAUGCUUCUCCAGCACCUUUUCAGGUAUAUUAAAGUUUUUCACAGUCUAUUGAAAUUGCAGUGUGAGACCCUCUU
RNAcentral lists this long non-coding RNA (641 nucleotides) under Vigna radiata. RNAcentral's name for it is "long non-coding RNA (VRAD_LNC016484)". Lineage: Eukaryota; Viridiplantae; Streptophyta; Magnoliopsida; Fabales; Fabaceae. The record is from RNAcentral.